UGCUUCUGUGCGUGCACAUGUAGACCUGUCCAGACACCAGGUGCAGAGCUACACUGAGAUUGGCCAGCUGAUAGAGGGGGGCAUCAGAAGACGUGCCACUGCCAGCACGAGCAUGAACCACGUCAGCAGCCGAUCCCACCUUCACCAUUAACUUUAUCCAGAUUGCAUCAUUAGAGCCGCCUUCAGGGUCAAGUGUAGAAGAGAAACUUCAUCAAGAUGUUGCUAGAGUAGCUCUCAGAAAUGAAGGGAUCGGGGUGGUGAUUGAUUUCCAAAUGCCGUAUUUGAUCUGCACUGAUGAAGAUCUACUGAGCACAGGCGUUGUUUUUAUCACUUAAAGUAGGAAUGCAGAAUUUCAGUAGGUGCUGGAGGAGCUGAGCUGAAGCAGGAUAUAGUUCUCCACGGUAAAGCUCUUCAGAGGGAACACUGUGUGGUUGAGAACCAGAGAAGGGCCGUCACUCUCCUGCCGCUCCCAGGAGACAGGUGUGGAGUCACAGGGGUGGAGGUGACUCUGGCCUGCCUUGACCCAGGGUCCACAGGAGCGACUCUCGUCUCAGAGCGAGACUCAAUGCACUUCCAGAACAGCCAAACAUGACUGAGGUUAAGAGUCUGGCGGACAAAGCCCCCGAUCCCCAGUUAAUUGGCAGAUGAAACAGAUAGAGUGCCUCGAGUUUGAAGUGCAUGUGUGGGAUUAACCUUUCAAAAAGGGUGAAACCUCCUAUAUUCAGAAAGAACAGCUCGUCUUCAGAGCUUGAUCUGUUCCUGGUGCAAGAAUAAAAAAGAAAAGGCAACUGGAGGAAAGGAGACGAGAAGGUAGACUUAUAGUCUCCUUUUCACAAAUUUCAAUUUGCCAAUGUUCAACUCUUUAGACAGUGUGCCAUCUCAAGUCAUUUAAUUUGAACAAAUGAUAGUAAAUUCCACAGCAUGGCCCAAAUCCAUCUGAUGCCAGAUUUUCAAAUGCUUUGUCACCUUCUGGAAGUCAAUAAUAGCUGCAAAAUUAGUUUUUGCCCCAAAAGGCAGAAAGGAGGAGAGAAAUAGGCAUCUUUUAAAUGUGCAUUGUAUAACUUUCAAAAGGAUCUCUUGACAGAAAUGCAA
Long non-coding RNA from Misgurnus anguillicaudatus (oriental weatherfish), 1092 nucleotides. RefSeq lists it as uncharacterized. Lineage: Eukaryota; Metazoa; Chordata; Actinopteri; Cypriniformes; Cobitidae. The record is from RefSeq and is a predicted model, not a curated record.